This 1210-nucleotide long non-coding RNA is filed under the name Chrysemys picta bellii (western painted turtle). RNAcentral describes it as "lncRNA (ENSCPBG00000005574.1)". The record is from RNAcentral. Lineage: Eukaryota; Metazoa; Chordata; Testudines; Emydidae.
GUAGUUUAUUUUUUACAUCAGCGAUCAAGAGAAAGAACAGGAAACUACAGCAAUUGCACGCGACAGCAAUUCCUCCCAGGAAGUGGUGCAGUGCAAGCCAGUCCUGAAUGCGUAGCCAGGGAUGGAGCUCAGAGCAUCUGGCACCGUGCUAAGGAUGGUCUGAAUGAGCUCACUCUGGGAAUAUCCCUUCCAUAGAUCUACCUUCCCUUAUCUCCCAGCCUUCCCCUCCCCCAGCCCCCAACAGCCCUCCCUCUCGGUCCCUUUGUUCUACCCGUGCACUCACUGUAGCCCUUAGGACAGUCAGACACUGCAAGAGGCAGGAGAGGAAACAGGAUCUCCUAACCCUGACAGAGAAGAGAGAUCUGGGAACUCACAGCAGUUAUAGCUUCAUCAGGGAACCGGACAGGAAAACACCUGGUGGGAUUUCAGCUCAGUGGGUAAAAGGUCCACAAGUGGAAACUAGAGAAGAGAAACACCAUAAAAAUAUAAAGCAACUGGAGGAACAGGAGUUUCUGAGAGAAAGAUACAAAGAGAUGGUUUCUGGAGCAGUGCUAAUGCGAGAAGCUGAAAGAGCUGGAGGAAACUGAGAAAGAAGAGGAAGCCAGCGGAAAACAAACCAGAAACAUUCACUACCGGUGAAAGAAGUUUCAACAAACUCAGCAGCAUUUUUAAGAUUCCCAGGGCCGUGCACACAUAUCUGGUACACAUACAAUAAUCACAGACACCACAGAAAAAAACAUCAGUUUGGGAAAAAAACUUCUGGAGGGUUCACGGAAUUAACAGAGCUGGUUGAAUGAUAUGAAACAUAUUUUGGAGACUGGAAGCUAUUAAUUUGGUUCCACAUUAUUCCUGCAGUCACAUUAUUUGCUAUUCACCAUAUUUGAAUAGCCAUCAGGCAUUUGUGAAAAUGUCUGCGCAUCGCCAAAGUUUCAUGAAUUUUAACUCCAGUGAUCACCUGUCCAAAACUUCAUCCUGGGAAAUAUAUUUUUCAUUAUUUAUUAUUCAUUAUUUUUUUAUUUUAAACGUUUCAGCCAUCCAGUCAGGGAGCAGAAACAAUCCCAUGUGACCUAGGUGAUCCGUCAAACCCCCAUGAAUAAUGAAUAGUAAAUAACUUGUGGACAACCCAUAGACUGAGAUUUAUUUGCACAGCCCCUCUGGUGAAUACAUGCACAUUGCAGAGUUGCUCAGGCACAGAAGAAAGGGCUGAAUU